Molecule: non-coding RNA, 159 nt
Organism: Sturnus vulgaris (Common starling)
Lineage: Eukaryota; Metazoa; Chordata; Aves; Passeriformes; Sturnidae
Source: RefSeq, a predicted model, not a curated record
GGCAAAGCUGAUACACAGAAAAGACUCUAUAACUUGUAGGAAAUGAGAGUUAUAAAGUAGGUAUGCAUUUAUUCAGCGCUGAGGUGCACGGGGAUAAUUCCUCCCAAAGCAUGCAUCCCAAAACUUCAAACUACUGCUCUAUUCAUUCCCUAAAAGCCU